UCCGGUUUGUCACCGGCAGUCUCAUUAGAGUGCCCAACUAAAUGUAGCAACUAAUGACAAGGGUUGCGCUCGUUGCGGGACUUAACCCAACAUCUCACGACACGAGCUGACGACAGCCAUGCAGCACCUGUCUCUCGGUUCCCGAAGGCACCAAGUCAUCUCUGACAAGUUCCGAGGAUGUCAAGGGCAGGUAAGGUUCUUCGCGUUGCAUCGAAUUAAACCACAUGCUCCACCGCUUGUGCGGGUCCCCGUCAAUUCUUUUGAGUUUCACCCUUGCGAGCGUACUCCCCAGGCGGCAUACUUAACGCGUUAGCUCCGAAACUGAAAGGGUUGAGCCCUCCAACUUCUAGUAUGCAUCGUUUAAGGCUAGGACUAC
RNAcentral lists this unclassified non-coding RNA (376 nucleotides) under uncultured bacterium. Its description in RNAcentral is "contains 16S-23S intergenic spacer region". The record is from RNAcentral.